CAGUCGCCGCGGUAAUACGUAGGGUGCAAGCGUUAAUCGGAAUUACUGGGCGUAAAGCGUGCGCAGGCGGUUCUAUAAGACAGAUGUGAAAUCCCCGGGCUCAACCUGGGAACUGCAUUUGUGACUGUAGAGCUGGAGUGCGGCAGAGGGGGAUGGAAUUCCGCGUGUAGCAGUGAAAUGCGUAGAUAUGCGGAGGAGCACCGAUGGCGAAGGCAAUCCCCUGGGCCUGCACUAACGCUCAUGCACGAAAGCGUGGGGAGCAAACAGGAUUAGAUACCCCUGUAGUCCCUGUCUCUUAUAC
RNAcentral lists this ribosomal RNA (301 nucleotides) under uncultured bacterium. Its description in RNAcentral is "partial 16S ribosomal RNA". It matches the Rfam family "Bacterial small subunit ribosomal RNA", at positions 509 to 807 of the family's 1533-position model. The record is from RNAcentral.